Molecule: ribosomal RNA, 392 nt
Filed under: uncultured bacterium
Lineage: Bacteria
Description: partial 16S ribosomal RNA
Rfam family: Bacterial small subunit ribosomal RNA
Source: RNAcentral
AUACGGAGGAUGCGAGCGUUAUCCGGAUUCAUUGGGUUUAAAGGGUGCGCAGGCGGCCUGGCGAGUCAGCGGUGAAAUCCCGGGGCCCAACCCCGGAAGUGCCGUUGAUACUGUCGGGCUGGAAUGCGGUCGGGGCGGGCAGAGCGUGGCGCGUCGCGGUGAAUGCGGAGAGAUGGCACAGAACGCCGCUAGCGGAGGCAGCUCGGCGGGCCGGCAUUGGCGCUCGGGCACGAAAGCGUGGGGAUCGAACAGGAUUAGAUCCCCGGGGAGUCCACGGCGUAAACGAUGGGCGCUCGUCGUCGUCGGCAGACGGUCGGCGGCCAAGCGAAAGCGAUAAGCGCCCCACCUGGGGAGUACGGUCGCAAGGCUGAAACUCAAAUGAAUUGGCGGGG